RNAcentral lists this ribosomal RNA (314 nucleotides) under uncultured bacterium. RNAcentral's name for it is "bacterial SSU rRNA". It matches the Rfam family "Bacterial small subunit ribosomal RNA", at positions 28 to 334 of the family's 1533-position model. The record is from RNAcentral.
GAUGAACGCUAGCUACAGGCUUAACACAUGCAAGUCGAGGGGCAUCAGGAAGGAAGCUUGCUUUCUUCGCUGGCGACCGGCGCACGGGUGAGUAACACGUAUCCAACCUGCCGAUGACUCGGGGAUAGCCUUUCGAAAGAAAGAUUAAUACCCGAUGGCAUAGUUCUUCCGCAUGGUAGGACUAUUAAAGAAUUUCGGUCAUCGAUGGGGAUGCGUUCCAUUAGCUUGUUGGCGGGGUAACGGCCCACCAAGGCAUCGAUGGAUAGGGGUUCUGAGAGGAAGGUCCCCCACACUGGUACUGAGACACGGACCAG